This 495-nucleotide ribosomal RNA is filed under the name Choerophryne laurini (Wandammen Albericus frog). RNAcentral's name for it is "Albericus laurini (Wandammen Albericus frog) partial 16S ribosomal RNA". Lineage: Eukaryota; Metazoa; Chordata; Amphibia; Anura; Microhylidae. The record is from RNAcentral.
UAGAGAUAGCUGGUUAUUCAGGAAAAGGAUUUAGUCCAAUUUUAAACCUCAACAUACCAAAAAUAUACCCUUAGCUUUAAAAUUUAUUCAAAUAAGGUACAGCCUAUUUGAAACAGGAUACAACCUAUAAUGUCGGGUAAUGUUAAAUCAUAUGACAAAGUAGGCCUAAAAGCAGCCACCUUAUAAAAAGCGUUAUAGCUUAAUCAUACACCUUAUUAAUCCUAACCAAAACCCAAAACCCUCCUUCCCCUACUGAAUGACCCCAUAUUUAUAUGGAAGCCAAUAUGUUAGAACUAGUAACAAGAAUAAAUUCUCCAACAGCACGUGUAAGCCGGAAUGAACCCUUCACCGGCAUUUACCGCCAAUGAAUCAAUAGUAGCAACAAUACAAGAAAACCCUACCUUGCCUAAACGUUAACCUUACACUAGAGCUUUUCAGGAACGAUUAAAAAAGGGGGAAGGAACUCGGCAAAUAGUAACUCCGCCUGUUUACCAA